RNAcentral lists this small RNA (865 nucleotides) under uncultured Glomus. RNAcentral's name for it is "eukaryotic LSU rRNA". The stretch from base 578 to 865 matches the Rfam family "Eukaryotic large subunit ribosomal RNA", at positions 1 to 281 of the family's 3401-position model. The record is from RNAcentral. Lineage: Eukaryota; Fungi; Glomeromycota; Glomeromycetes; Glomerales; Glomeraceae.
CUUGGUCAUUUAGAGGAAGUAAAAGUCGUAACAAGGUUUCCGUAGGUGAACCUGCGGAAGGAUCAUUAAUGAUUUUUUAAGCAAUCCGAGCGAGAUAAAGCGAGGAUUGCGAAAUAUUUAAAACCCCACUCUUUUUAACUUUAUAUAAUAAUAAAUCAUGAUACAUGAAUUUAAAAAAAAGAUCACUUUCAACAACGGAUCUCUUGGCUCUCGCAUCGAUGAAGAACGCAGCGAAAUGCGAUAAGUAGUGUGAAUUGCAGAAAUUGUGAAUCAUCGAAUCUUUGAACGCAAAUUGCACUCUCUGGUAUUCCGGGGAGUAUGCCUGUUUGAGGGUCGUUAGAACAAAAAUCGAAGCGUCGCUCUUUACGAAAUUAUUAUAUUUUGUUUGGGUGAUUGCGUCGGAAUUGAGCCUUCUUUCAUAUGUUAAUUCAUGUCAAAGUGGCUUAAAAUUCAUCAAUCUGGUACGAUUUAAAGCGUAUUUAAGAUCAACCUUGAUUAAGAACGCGCGAUGACGUACCAUCUCAUGUAGUACGUUCGACCUGCUUGUCAGGCUCAUUCGUAUACGACAUUCAACUUUUGACCUCAAAUCAGGUAAGAAUACCCGCUGAACUUAAGCAUAUCAAUAAGCGGAGGAAAAGAAAAUAGCAAUGAUUCCCUCAGUAACGGCGAGCGAAGAGGGAUAAGCUCAAAUUUUAAAUCUGUUGGGUUUCACCUAACAGAGUUGUAUUUUGAAGAAACGUUUUCUGCGUCCAGGAUUAGCCUAAAUCCUUUGGGAUAAGGUAUCAUGGAGGGUGAGAAUCCCGUUCAUGGUUAAUCUUAAGGAUGCUCUACGAUACGUUCUCCAAGAGUCGAGUUGUUUGGGAAU